CGCGGGGCCGCUGCCCCUCCCGGGUCGCUCCGAUGGCCCGAGCCUCAUCGUCUGCACUGCCGCCGCUUCCUGGGAGGUUUCGCGGGGAACCCGAAGGGCUGCACAGACAAGGUAUUAAAAGAGAAGAAAUUCUGCCUUUGAAAUUUAGGCUCUAUAAAUGAUCAGCGGCACAACAAAGAAUUUCAUAGACUGAAUUUCAGGCUCAUGGGAUUUUCCAGGUAUUGAACCUGCAACCUGUGCAUGUGCCCUGACCAGUGAUUGAACCUGCAAACUUGUGUACUCAGUGACGCUCCAACCACCUAAACCACCCUGCCAGGCCUAUAUGGAUGGAGUCGAUGGUAUCUGAUGUAGGCAGAACUGGAGAAAAAUGAUUUCUAUUUCACCAUGUAUUGCUUCGAGCUAGUUACUCCCUGAGUUUGCUACAGUAAAAGAUUUGUGCAGAUUUGGUUGAAACUGGCUCAUGGAGUUCAACUACCUGAGAACACAUCCUUGAAAAAGACAGCUGAGGCAUACUGCCUAAACCACAGAUGGUUGAAAACCUGGCCAAAAGUGACUGUGACUACUCUGGACUGUUGACUUCACGAGUGCUGAUGAAUACAAUGAACUGUAGAAGAUCUAUGAUUUGUUUUGAACACAUUUACUAUGAUGGAUGGUCCAGAUUUGGCAAGUUAGUUCACUCCCAGUAGAAAUGGAAGUUUCACUGCCUUGCCUCUUUCAACAUUCUUGUUGAGACAAAUUUCACUCUUACGGGCCAAUGUCACUGAUAAUUUGCAGCAUAAUGAAUUUAUUAGCUACCCUAUGGAUCAAUGCUGUACAUAAUAUUCCUGAGUCAACAUGAGCUCUUAAUUAAAUGUCUUUGUUACAAAUGCCUCUGCAAAUUUUCCUUUAGAUGACCAAACUUGAAGACAUGCGUCUAAGUGUCAACCAGUAAUUAGGCUAGUCACUUUUUGAGAUGGGCCAGGACCAAGGCGAGGGCAGGGUCAGGUUAGAAAGUAAUCUGUUAUGCACAGCAGGUUAUAAAAUGGAUACAUGUAAAAAACAACCAAUAAAUUGAU
Molossus molossus (Pallas's mastiff bat) is the source of this 1055-nucleotide long non-coding RNA. RefSeq lists it as uncharacterized. The record is from RefSeq and is a predicted model, not a curated record. Lineage: Eukaryota; Metazoa; Chordata; Mammalia; Chiroptera; Molossidae. The transcript has 5 exons.